GAUGAACGCUGGCGGCGUGCUUAACACAUGCAAGUCGAGCGAAGCAGUUAAGUUGAUUUCUUCGGAUUGAUUCUUGACUGACUGAGCGGCGGACGGGUGAGUAACGCGUGGGUGACCUGCCCCAUACCGGGGGAUAACAGCUGGAAACGGCUGCUAAUACCGCAUAAGCGCACAGAGCUGCAUGGCUCGGUGUGAAAAACUCCGGUGGUAUGGGAUGGGCCCGCGUCUGAUUAGGUAGUUGGCGGGGUAACGGCCCACCAAACCGACGAUCAGUAGCCGGCCUGAGAGGGCGACCGGCCACAUUGGGACUGAGACACGGCCCAAACUCCUACGGGAGGCAGCAGUGGGGAAUAUUGCACAAUGGGGGAAACCCUGAUGCAGCGACGCCGCGUGAGCGAAGAAGUAUUUCGGUAUGUAAAGCUCUAUCAGCAGGGAAGAUAAUGACGGUACCUGACUAAGAAGCCCCGGCUAACUACGUGCCAGCCACCGCGGUAA
RNAcentral lists this ribosomal RNA (495 nucleotides) under uncultured bacterium. RNAcentral's name for it is "partial 16S ribosomal RNA". It matches the Rfam family "Bacterial small subunit ribosomal RNA", at positions 28 to 523 of the family's 1533-position model. The record is from RNAcentral.